This 375-nucleotide long non-coding RNA is filed under the name Pan troglodytes (chimpanzee). Its description in RNAcentral is "lncRNA (ENSPTRG00000054009.1)". Lineage: Eukaryota; Metazoa; Chordata; Mammalia; Primates; Hominidae. The record is from RNAcentral.
AUGGGAUUGAGUUAUGACAAGCUGAACAGAAGCCCUGAAAGGUCAUGGGCUCAUUUCUUCAUUUAUGAUGAAUUGUCCAGAGUUUCUGCAGACCGACCAAAGGUGAUGAUCCCACAUCAGCAACAAGAGUCAGGAGGAAGACUUCAGAAGCAGGAAUGCAUAGAUCCAAGAAAGAUCAUAUGUGAAGCACCAGUCUAUGCUCUGUAUCUCGCCUUCCACUUUUCAAGGCAUCACUCUAAUGAAGAUCUCCUCCUUCAGCUGUGCUCUCCAUGGCCUCUGAACAUAUAACAUAGUCCUAGCUCACCCAAAUGAAACAAACAGGUAACACAAAAUCUUCCUCAAUCCUUUCUCCUUUAUCUUUUAAAUUUCGGAUUC